GAGCUGGGUUCAGAACGUCGUGAGACAGUUCGGUCCCUAUCCGUCGUGGGCGUAGGAAAUUUGAGAGGAGCUGUCCUUAGUACGAGAGGACCGGGAUGGACAUACCUCUGGUGUACCAGUUGUCGUGCCAACGGCAUAGCUGGGUAGCUAUGUGUGGACGGGAUAAGUGCUGAAAGCAUCUAAGCAUGAAGCCCCCCUCAAGAUGAGAUUUCCCAACUUCGGUUAUAAGAUCCCUCAAAGAUGAUGAGGUUAAUAGGUUCGAGGUGGAAGCAUGGUGACAUGUGGAGCUGACGAAUACUAAUCGAUCGAAGACUUAAUCAAAA
RNAcentral lists this ribosomal RNA (323 nucleotides) under Staphylococcus aureus. RNAcentral's name for it is "partial 23S ribosomal RNA". It matches the Rfam family "Bacterial large subunit ribosomal RNA", at positions 2602 to 2925 of the family's 2925-position model. Lineage: Bacteria; Bacillati; Bacillota; Bacilli; Caryophanales; Staphylococcaceae. The record is from RNAcentral.